RNAcentral lists this ribosomal RNA (301 nucleotides) under uncultured bacterium. RNAcentral describes it as "partial 16S ribosomal RNA". It matches the Rfam family "Bacterial small subunit ribosomal RNA", at positions 509 to 809 of the family's 1533-position model. The record is from RNAcentral.
CAGUAGCCGCGGUAAUACCGAGGGUGCGAGCGUUAAUCGGAUUUACUGGGCGUAAAGCGUGCGUAGGCGGUUAUAUAAGACAGAUGUGAAAUCCCCGGGCUCAACCUGGGAACUGCAUUUGUGACUGUAUAGCUAGAGUACGGCAGAGGGGGAUGGAAUUCCGCGUGUAGCAGUGAAAUGCGUAGAUAUGCGGAGGAACACCGAUGGCGAAGGCAAUCCCCUGGGCCUGUACUGACGCUUAUGCACGAAAGCGUGGGGAGCAAACAGGAUUAGAUACCCCCGUAGUCCCUGUCUCUUAUAU